CAAAGGAGAAAGACAGUUUAAGAAAAGGUCACCUUCGAUGCUUGUGGCUUAUAUGCAAAAAGUCAGAUACAUUGACAAAAGUAUCAUGUUUACUUGAGCCGCCUCACUCACUUAGUAAAAACUGGUUUCUCAAAAGCCACUCAAAGGAACAUUGUGUCAAAAGAUGCUCUCAAAGAUUCCUUGAAAGAUGAAAAGUUCCCAAAUUUGUCUACAACCAAGACAAUCAGUAGCUUCUCAAGAUGACUCAAGUGUGGUCAGAAGAAGAGCCCUCUCUGGCAUAAAGGUCUAUGCAAAACAGUUAAAGUCUUUCGAUUUUAGGCCCAGCUAUUGCAGAAAGUUUAAAGAAUGGGAGUGACCCAGUAAGACUUCCGCUAAGUGUUGUGCUCUGCUUGUUUUUCAGUUAACAAAAGGUUAGUGUUAUGUUGAUUUUGUUUAUCAUAGUUUCUCUUUAGCCUCUUGGAAUUCUCAUAAUUCUUUGACUAUUCAUUCAAUUUCAUUUUAGUAGUAAUUUACUGCAAGUUAUUUAGGCAUUUUACUUCCAAAUCUACUGCAAUCUAUAAUUAUAUGUUGUCAAAUUGAAUUGUCUUUGACUUUAAUAUAUGGAACUACAUGAAAGUACCAUGCUUUAGCAGCUAUCACCUUUCUAUCAAGGUUCUAGAAAAUGUAUCUCGCCAAAAACUUGACAAGCGUAAAAAUAGGCGGAGACAUCCAAUUCCAAAGCUUUUUAAAAAUAGGUUUGAUUCUUGUUUCCACUUGCUUAUAUGUGGAUGAUUGGCCAAUGUUCUUCCCUUUUUCUUGAAAUUUGACAAGAUUUGGAUUCUUGUUUUCCCUUGCUUAUACGUGGAUGAUUGACCAAUGUUCUCCUUUUCUUGAAAUUUGACAAGGAAGAUUGUUAUGUUGGAUAGGGUAUGUAUUGAGAGGACUAUUGACUAUAUCAAGUAAGUUCUUUUCUUCCGAGCAACAUGUAUGCAAGGAGCAUGGACAAAAUCAUUUAGUCAUCCUUUAUGUGUUUUUGAAUGUACUAUUUUGAUGCACUUAAAGUUCCAUAUGAUGAUUUCCUUUUUCAUCAUUGAAAUCUUGGUUUUCAAUUAAUUCUGAGUCUGGGUGGUUAUCUUUUCAAUUCCUUACCUAGAUUUCUUGCCUCUCAACUGUUUCUACUUAGGAACUUUGACUAUCUAAGUUUAGUACUUUGUGAUGUUUCGUAUUGAUCACUCGAGCACGCAUAUUUGAUUUGUGGUUUGAAAUAAUGCUUAUGAUUUAACAAUUAGUUUGAUUCAUAUUAGGAUUAUAAUUGAAAGGAAUUUCUUGUCUAUGGUGUCACCAAAAUUUUGCCUUUUCUAGUAAUAAUUACUCAAAUUGAAUCUUGAUAUCUUUUUAUCUUAUGAGUGAAUGUACUGAACAAAUUGUAAUAUUUAGUGAUAUACCACUAUUGUUUAAAGAUCUAUUGAUAU
Long non-coding RNA from Zingiber officinale, 1451 nucleotides. RefSeq lists it as uncharacterized. The record is from RefSeq and is a predicted model, not a curated record. The transcript has 10 exons. Lineage: Eukaryota; Viridiplantae; Streptophyta; Magnoliopsida; Zingiberales; Zingiberaceae.